ACUGCUCAGUAACACGUAGUCAACAUGCCCAGGGGACGAGGAUAACCUCGGGAAACUGAGGAUAAACCUCGAUAGGCCAUGAUUUCUGGAAUGAUUCUUGGCUCAAACCUAUAUGGCCCCUGGAUUGGACUGCGGCCGAUCAGGCUGUUGGUGAGGUAAUGGCCCACCAAACCUAUUACCGGUACGGGCUCUGAGAGGAGGAGCCCGGAGAUGGGCACUGAGACAAGGGCCCAGGCCCUAUGGGGCGCAGCAGGCGCGAAACCUCUGCAAUAGGCGAAAGCUUGACAGGGUUACUCUGAGUGAUUUCCGCUAAGGGAAUCUUUUGGCACCUCUAAAAAUGGUGCAGAAUAAGGGGUGGGCAAGUCUGGUGUCAGCCGCCGCGGUAAUACCAGCACCCCGAGUGGUCGGGACGAUUAUUGGGCCUAAAGCAUCCGUAGCCGGUCCUGCAAGUCUUCCGUUAAAUCCAGCUGCUCAACAGAUGGGCUGCGGGAGAUACUACAGGGCUAGGAGGCGGGAGAGGCAAGCGGUACUUUAUGGGUAGGGGUAAAAUCCGCUGAUCCAUAGAAGACCACCAGUGGCGAAGGCGGCUUGCCAGAACGCGCUCGACGGUGAGGGAUGAAAGCUGGGGGAGCAAACCGGAUUAGAUACCCGGGUAGUCCCAGCUGUAAACGAUGCAGACUCGGUGAUGGGUUGGCCUCGCGCCUGCCCAGUGCCGCAGGGAAGCCGUUAAGUCUGCCGCCUGGGGGAGUACGGUCGCAAGACUGAAACUUAAAGGAAUUGGCGGGGGAGCAC
This 792-nucleotide ribosomal RNA is filed under the name uncultured archaeon. RNAcentral's name for it is "bacterial SSU rRNA". It matches the Rfam family "Archaeal small subunit ribosomal RNA", at positions 85 to 879 of the family's 1478-position model. The record is from RNAcentral.